RNAcentral lists this ribosomal RNA (394 nucleotides) under uncultured bacterium. Its description in RNAcentral is "bacterial SSU rRNA". It matches the Rfam family "Bacterial small subunit ribosomal RNA", at positions 28 to 417 of the family's 1533-position model. The record is from RNAcentral.
GACGAACGCUGGCGGCGUGCUUAACACAUGCAAGUGGAGCGACGAACCAGGCUUCGGCCUGGGGCAGAGCCGCGAACGGGUGAGUAACACGUGGGUAACCUGCCUCGAUGACCGGGACAACCCGGGGAAACCCGGGCUAAUACCGGAUGUGCUCCUUCACAUCAGUGAAGACAGGAAAGGAAGCUUCGGCCUCCGCAUCGAGAUGGGCCCGCGGCCCAUCAGCUUGNGGUGAGGUAACGGCUCACCAAGGCUGCGAUGGGUAGCUGGUCUGAGAGGACGAUCAGCCACACUGGGACUGAGACACGGCCCAGACUCCUACGGGAGGCAGCAGUGGGGAAUCUUGCGUAAUGCGCGAAAGCGUGACGCAGCAACGCCGCGUGGGGGAAGACGGCCU